UACGUAGGGAGCAAGCGUUGUCCGGAAUCAUUGGGCGUAAAGCGCGCGUAGGUGGCCUCAUAAGUCCGCUGUGAAAGUCAAAGGCUCAACCUUUGAAAGCCGGUGGAUACUGUGGGGCUAGAGUACGGAAGAGGCGAGUGGAAUUCCUGGUGUAGCGGUGGAAUGCGCAGAUAUCAGGAGGAACACCAAUAGCGAAGGCAGCUCGCUGGGACGGUAUUGACGCUAAGGCGCGAAAGCGUGGGGAGCAAACAGG
Molecule: ribosomal RNA, 253 nt
Filed under: uncultured bacterium
Lineage: Bacteria
Description: partial 16S ribosomal RNA
Rfam family: Bacterial small subunit ribosomal RNA
Source: RNAcentral